This is a non-coding RNA of Pelobates cultripes (western spadefoot toad), 567 nucleotides long. NCBI's taxonomy places the organism in Eukaryota, Metazoa, Chordata, Amphibia, Anura, Pelobatidae. The record is from the annotation of a GenBank genome assembly.
CUGCCAAUGUGUCUCUAUCCCUCCCUGUCCAUGUGCGUCUCCUCCUUUCAGGUGUCUCUCCACCCUCCUGUCCUGUACCUGCUCACUAUGGUACAGUACCUGGUCUGAUAGAAAGUGCUCUCGCAGUGAGCACUUUCUUGCAGACUGCAGUCCGCUCGGCCAUGCUAAAAUAGCGGCAGGAGGGAAACAGCUCAGCAUAGCACUCCACUCCUACCAAUCACUAUCAUUGUUACUUACCUUUCACAAACUCUGCUCCUCAGUCCGAAUCCAGGAAGCGCUGGCGCAAAAUAAAAUGGCAAUGGGUCCGUGCAGUGUUCGUAAAGGCAGGAAAACGUAAAGUGGGAGUACGUAAACCGGGAAAUGCCUGUAUUUGUAUUUAAUUUUGUAUUACACAGCCAUAUAACAAUGCUGCCUAACACCCCAUUUUGCCUAUGAAGUUUUAAUAAGUUUGUGGGGGUUUAGAAAAUACCCCUUUCUGUCUCAUUAGAGAUUUUUUAAACUGCAGCUGAAAGAAGCAAGGUGAAUUGUUAACAUAGAACUCACCUAAGAGGUUUGCCUUAAAUGGCC